GAUGAACGCUGGCGGCGUGCCUAAUACAUGCAAGUCGAGCGAACAGACGAGGAGCUUGCUCCUCUGACGUUAGCGGCGGACGGGUGAGUAACACGUGGAUAACCUACCUAUAAGACUGGGAUAACUUCGGGAAACCGGAGCUAAUACCGGAUAAUAUAUUGAACCGCAUGGUUCAAUAGUGAAAGACGGUUUUGCUGUCACUUAUAGAUGGAUCCGCGCCGCAUUAGCUAGUUGGUAAGGUAACGGCUUACCAAGGCAACGAUGCGUAGCCGACCUGAGAGGGUGAUCCGCCACAGUGGAAAUGAGAGACGGUCCCUACUCCUACGGGAGGCAGCAGUAGGGAAUCUUCCGCGAUGGGCGAAAGCUUGACGGAGCAACGCCGCGUGAGUGAUGAAGGUCUUCGGAUCGUAAAACUCUGUUAUUAGGGAAGAACAAAUGUGUAAGUAACUAUGCACGUCUUGACGGUACCUAAUCAGAAAGCCACGGCUAACUACGUG
This 497-nucleotide ribosomal RNA is filed under the name uncultured bacterium. RNAcentral describes it as "partial 16S ribosomal RNA". It matches the Rfam family "Bacterial small subunit ribosomal RNA", at positions 28 to 507 of the family's 1533-position model. The record is from RNAcentral.